UUUGGUUUUGAGUGAAAUUCGAUUUAGGAAUCAUGUGAAAGAAACAAGGACUUGGUUUUUUUUUGUGGGCAAAGAUUGUGUUUCUGUAGUAAAAAAUAUGAGAAGGGAGAAAAAUAAAGGUGAAGAAGAAAAGGAAAAUAAAGAAAUGAAAAGAAAAAAUUAAAUUGUUCAAAAAAGUAUAGUGACUAGUUUUAACAAAUGAAAAAAAAU
This 210-nucleotide long non-coding RNA is filed under the name Gossypium raimondii (Peruvian cotton). RNAcentral describes it as "long non-coding RNA (GRAI_LNC000719)". The record is from RNAcentral. Lineage: Eukaryota; Viridiplantae; Streptophyta; Magnoliopsida; Malvales; Malvaceae.